UGAAUUUCAGUUUCUGUCAUUAAUAAAUUGGAAAUAGUAGCACUUCCCUUUCUACUUCACACACUUGUAAAGACCAAAUUAGAUUAUGCACAUUCCACAAAGAGCUAAAUAAAUGUAGGGUGCUACUACCAUUACUUUAAUCUGAAGUAUGUUAUAUGUUAGUUUGAGAACUGAGCAUUAUAAUACCUAAUAAAAUAUCAUAUUUGCCUACUAGAAUUUCCAGUUGUGGCAAAAAACCAUUUUCAGCAUACAGUUUCAUGGACCAGGGAAUCCAAGUGCAACAUUCAGCAGAAUCUAUAAGAUAAUAAUAAACAAACUCUAUCUGUAAGGAACUGAAGAUUCUAAACUAACAAGGGGCUUAAAUGAUACAAGUAGGCCUUCGAAGAUUGGUAUGGAAGCUCUGUGUGUCUUAGGCUUCUUUCUGCUCUACCAAUCUGAGAGUGUGUCUUCCAUCUUCAAAGUCUCCCAAAUGGCACCUUCAGACAUCAUGUCACCUUUCAUUUUUCUUCCCCAAAUCAGUCCUUCCGUUCUCACCUUCUUAAUGGUGUAUCUUCCCAAAGCAUUCCUCAAUAAAUCUUCUGCUUGUAACCCUCCAUCUCAGAGGCUAUUUCCAGGAAGCCCAAGCUAAAUUAAUUCACAAGAGAUUCUCAGGUGUCUUCAGCCACCAGGGCUGGGAAGCAGAACCAGAGCAACAAGACCAGCUGUUCUCCAUCCCUCAUUACUCCUCUGCCUCUCUGCGUGAGUGCUUCCUGACAAGUCCAGCUUUCAUGGCCUCUGGCAGCCCUGAUGGCAUCUUAAGACUUCUUUUCCUUUUUUUUUUUUUUUUUUUUUUUUUUUUUUUUUUUUGAGAUGGAGUUUUGCUCUGUUGCCCAGGCUGGAGUGCACUGGCAUGAUCUUGGCUCACUACAACCUCCCCCUCCCGGGUUCAAGCAAUUCUGCCUCGGCCUCCCGAGUAGCUGGGACUACAGGUGCAUGCCACCACACCUGGCUAAUUUUUGUAUUUUUAAUAGAGACGGGGUUUCACCAUGUUGGUCAGGCUGGCCUCGAACUCCUGACCUCAAGUGAUCCACCCUCCUCAGCUUCCCAAAGUGCUGGGAUUACAGGUGUGAGCCACCGUGCCUGGCCAAGGCUUUUCAAUGUUAUCUUCCAUUGCUAAUUCCCUCCUUCUCUGGGGAUUUCUGAACUGGUUUCUGCAAGAGAGUGUCUCAUGGGCUUAGUUCAUCUUUUCAAGUCAAGCCACCUUGCAGGUUGCCAGUGAUCCUGUAGAUUGGGUGACUUUGGGUCAGCAGUUUAUCUCUGGGCCAAUCAGCAGUAGCUGUGGGGUAUAAGGAGUCGGGAAGAGGUUCGUGGCCCUAGGGUUUCCCCUUCAGCAGGGUGAGUGGUGGAGGAGGUGUUGCAAGGACUCUAGCAUAUUAUAGGUGCUUUCAGAGCACCCAGGUGAAAGGAAAGGAAGUAAUGAGAACACCAUGUCAGGCACAGCAGGGAGGCAGGGCUGCUGCCCUAUGUUUUUUGUUUUGUUUUGUUAUUUAUUUAUUUAAGACAGAGUUUUGCUCUGUCCCCCAGGCUGGGGUGUGGUGGCAUGAUCUCGGCUCACUGCAAUCUCUGCCUCCUGGGUUCAAGUGAUCCUCCUGCCUCAGCCUCCUCAGUAGCUAGGACUACAGGCGUGCACCACCACUCCCACCUAAUUUUUAUUUUUAUUUUUAGUAGAGGCAGAGUUUCACCAUGUUGGCCAAGCUGGUCUUGAACUCCUGGUCUCAAGUGACCCGCCCGCCUUGUCCUUCCAAAGUGUUGGGAUUACAGGUGUGAACCACCGCACCUGGCCCCUAUGUUCUUAAUUAAGGAGAAAGCAGGCUUGAUUUGGAAUGAAGCGUUCAAGGAGGCGGAGGAAGGAGUGGGUAUGUGCGGAAUGAAACCACGUGGGGCGGCCCUGCCCAGUUUAAAACGAACUUGAACUCCAGGUAUUACAGAAGAAGGACCAUGGGAAGGAAGGAGCAGAGAGAUCAGAACCGACCACAGUGGAGAGGCGAGAGCCAGUCCGCAGCCAGAUGUCACCAGACUUGCUUUAGUUAGGUAUUGUUCUCUACUGCAUACGGUGGGCUCUGCAGGGAGUUGCUGCUUGCCCGCGGGGCAGGUGCUCCCAGACCACGUGCCAGGGCUUAGUCACGGCAGCUUUUGUGCUCCGCCGCAUUGAGUGUUUUCUUCCAUCUCCCCGUGCCCACUUACAACAGUCACCGGGUCUUAAACGUCCCCACAGCCUCGUUUCCUCCUUGUUCUGUCUGAGGGAGGCAUGAUACAUCCUCACACCCCCUCACAGUUCUGUUUUUGCAUGGCUUGGAUCUUCCCACGCCCCGUCUGAGGUGGGCCCAGAGGCGUUGUCUGCUAUUUAGGAUACUGUCCAAAACAGUAGCCACUAACCUCAUGUGGCAAUUUAAAUUUAAUGACACUGGCCAGGAGCGGUGGCUCAUGCCUGUAAUCCCAGCACUUUGGGAGGCCGAGGUGGGUGGAUCGCUUGAGGUCAGGAGUUUGAGACCAGCCUGGCCAACAUGGUGAAACCCCGUCUCUACUAAAAAUACAAAAAUUAACGAGGCGUGGUGGCCUACACCUGUAGUCCCAGCUACUCAGGAGACUUGCAAGGCUGAGUCAGGAAAGUCGCUUGAACCCGGCAGGCGGAGGUUGCAGU
This 2680-nucleotide long non-coding RNA is filed under the name Homo sapiens (human). RNAcentral describes it as "HSALNT0153852". The record is from RNAcentral. Lineage: Eukaryota; Metazoa; Chordata; Mammalia; Primates; Hominidae.